Molecule: small nuclear RNA, 117 nt
Organism: Abrus precatorius (Indian licorice)
Lineage: Eukaryota; Viridiplantae; Streptophyta; Magnoliopsida; Fabales; Fabaceae
Product: U5 spliceosomal RNA
Exons: 1
Source: RefSeq, a predicted model, not a curated record
AGCCGUGCGUUGAGCACAAAGCGAACUAUUCUUUCGCCUUUUACUAAAGAAUACCGUGUGCUCGUCGCAUGAAGCGGCAUACGCCUAUUUUUGGAAAGGAACCUUAAUUAGGGUCCU